RNAcentral lists this ribosomal RNA (460 nucleotides) under uncultured bacterium. Its description in RNAcentral is "bacterial SSU rRNA". It matches the Rfam family "Bacterial small subunit ribosomal RNA", at positions 29 to 506 of the family's 1533-position model. The record is from RNAcentral.
ACGAACGCUGGCGGCGUGCCUAACACAUGCAAGUCGAGGGUUUUAGUAGCAAUACAAAGAACACUGGCGCACGGGUGAGUAACGCGUAGAUCAUCUGCCCCUAACACUGACAUAACAGUUCUAACGGACUGCUAAUAUCAGAUGUGAUGAGCAAUCAUUAAAGGGCAACCGGUUAGGGAUGAGUCUGCGUCUGAUUAGGUAGUUGGUGAGGUAACGGCUCACCAAGCCUACGAUCAGUAACUGGUCUGAGAGGACGAACAGUCACACUGGAACUGAGACACGGUCCAGACUCCUACGGGAGGCAGCAGUGAGGAAUAUUGCACAAUGGGAGAAAUCCUGAUGCAGCGACGCCGCGUGUGGGAAGAAGGAGCUUAGCUUCGUAAACCACUGUCGGAGGGGACGAAUGACAGGUUAGACCUGUUGAGACGGUACCCUCAAAGGAAGGAUCGGCUAACUACGU